This 2527-nucleotide unclassified non-coding RNA is filed under the name Hevea brasiliensis (rubber tree). The record is from RNAcentral. Lineage: Eukaryota; Viridiplantae; Streptophyta; Magnoliopsida; Malpighiales; Euphorbiaceae.
AGAGAGAGAGAGAAAGAGAGAAGAUACAAGCAUUACAGGAAACAGGAAAAUAAUUGCUAAGGUUAAGCAGAUAAAGAACUCAAAAUUAAAGAAAAUAAACACAUCCACAGUGAACCACCCAAAUAAAAUUCUUGCUCAAGUAGGUCCACUUAUACCAGCACACCCUCAAUUAAUUGAUUACUCGCAGGUUCCAUAUAAAACACAAUGGAGUAAUGUCCCAAAGGAUCCAAAAUAAAAAUUCUUUAAAAUAAAAAUUCUUUCUUUCUCCCAAUCCCAACUCCAAUCACCUAAUAAUCCUUGAGGGACCCCAAGCAUCACCCACUAAACUCCAAACAAAGAAAAUGCGAGGGAUCAUCACAUUCUGGUCACAAAACAAAAAAGCAAAACAUAGUUCAAGAUUGCAAAGUCCAGUAUACACAUUCAACACCAUUUUGCUAUCCUAACCCAUCUUCAUCAACUUAUCUUUGCAAUGAGACACCAUCAAACCACAGAGGCUGCCAUCAUAUCCAUCAAUUCUAGGGUAAAAACAUUAGAAUUAACAACUUCCAAGGCUUCAUGAUAGGAUAUAACUUCAAAUGCACUCUUCCACAGUGAAAAACACUAAGGUCAUUUCCUUAGCUAAGUUGUGUUAAAGGCCGACUUACAGCCAAAGCUUUAAGAUAGACAACAUCACUCCACAACGUCAUCUUUAACCAACACCUCCAAAGCCAUCACUGCAACAUCAAAGCAACAUAUGCUUCCCCAUUAGUGGUACAAUAUUAUUUCUAAGAGCUCGUGUUCGCCUAGCCCUUUACUCUUGCAUUGUGGAAGAUUGGUUUAAAGCAGGCACGACGGAAAGUGUGGAGAGGUUUAGGAGUGGGAGGAAGUGGAUCAAGAGAAACAUUAAUUCCACUUAAGUACCCUAGAAAAAGCAAAUCAAAAUGAUGCCUGCAGUGAGCAUGAUAGAUAAAAAAAUUGACAAGGAUUCUGCUUCAAUUUCCCUUGAUGUAAGAAGCUUCCUAAUCAUGGGAUAGAAUUAUGCGUCAAUCAUUGGCUAAAUACCAUAGAUUUUUUGCUAACUUAUUGUACCAUUCACAACUUGGUUCAUUGAUUUUUCACAUUUAAUUAUAGCACUUCUGCAGCUUUUACGAUUGUGCUGCAGCACAUGAUAGCGUUAUGCCUCAUACAGUUGCAUGCCUUUAUAAAGGUGUUCAUACUAAACAUAAAGGUGAGCAUAAAGUUUUGCUUUUAAAGGGGGCCUCCCAAGGAUGGUGCAACAACAUCAGAUCAGAAAAUUGAGAGGGGUUUCAAGUAAUUCCAGCGAAAGCACAAAUCAUUUUUAAGUAAUCAAGAUUAUAAUACAGAAGAAAAAAAAGGUUAUUAAAGUUGGAUUCCAAUAUCAGAUGCCAUAAUAAAUAUUAACAAUAGUUGCGUGUAUAUUGCUACUAUUGCCUGUUAAAAAGUAAAUUGAAAAAGCCUAAAAAGGGUGCUCAUUAAAAUGUACCCAUGUUUAUUAGACAAUUCUCUAAAGUUAAAGAUAUAAUAGGUCCAUCAAAAGGAACUUUUCAGAGUCCUUAAAAAUUGCUCCUCCAUAUCUAAGCAGUAACAAGCAAUAACCAAAUAAAGUGAAACUUUGCUCUCUCUCUCCCUCAAUUGCUACAUAUCCAAAAUACACAAUUAGAAUGGAAUAAAAUUGGCACAUACCCAUCUGGAAAAACAUUGCCCCUAACGGGAAAAAUGGAAGAUGAAUCCACAGCAGCAGUAUUUAAAGAAGCUAGCUUAUUAUUUUUUGGUGGACCAAUAGUAUCAUCAGCUGGCGUCAACAGACUCUCCUUAUAGACAAACCUCACCAAUUUAUGUUGAAGAUCACCCUGCGAAAUCUCACGGAUACCAAAUUUAUGAUACAAGGGAAAGAUAAAAGACUUGGGCUUUUCAUCAUCUUCAGAAGCCUUCAAUUCCUGAAGGGUACUCGAAAAUACAGAGCUGUAGAGAAUAAGAGCAAAAAGAGAGAUACACACAAAGCCCAAGAGCUUUCUUGGGGUACUAAGAAAGAGUUGUGAUGAUGAGUAUUGGAUUUGGGGGUUUUGGGGCGGCGGUGGUGGUGGUGAAGACUGGACUGGAAGCUGAUAAUCUCGAUGGGUUUGGGAGGGUUGUUGGAGAUGGGUUUGGUGAGAGAGUGGAUAGUGAUCAUCAUCAGUGAGAGUAAAAGCAGUGAUGGUUUUGCCUAAAGAAGGAUUAUCUGGAGGUGGAAGUGAAAUAAUAACCACUCCUUUAAUCUGGGGAGAGUAAUCAGAAUCCAUAUCUCCUCCUCUCCCAAAAAAGGGUAUGUAUCAAUCACUCAAAACAAGCAAAGAUCUGUAUAAAAGGAAGGCGAGGGAGCUAUUCUUGGACUCUGCUCAACUGCUAACAGUGUCUCCCUCCCCUGUGCUUGAAGACUUGAGCUAAAUGUUUUCUGCCUCCAAAGUUUGGACAGAGAGAGAGAGAGUAGUCAAUGUGAAACCAAAAUACGUAAGACACAUGGCAGAGAAAGAUUCAAAGGAUGUAGGAG